Molecule: ribosomal RNA, 392 nt
Filed under: uncultured bacterium
Lineage: Bacteria
Description: partial 16S ribosomal RNA
Rfam family: Bacterial small subunit ribosomal RNA
Source: RNAcentral
AUACGGAGGAUCCGAGCGUUAUCCGGAUUUAUUGGGUUUAAAGGGUGCGCAGGCGGCCAUUUAAGUCAGCGGUUAAAUCGUGGGGCUCAACCCCAUUCUGCCGUUGAUACUGGGUGGCUUGAUUGCGGUCGAGGUUGGCGGAAUUCGUUGUGUAGCGGUGAAAUGCAUAGAUAUGACGAAGAACACCGAUUGCGUAGGCAGCUGACCAGACCGCAAAUGACGCUCAUGCACGAAAGUGCGGGGAUCGAACAGGAUUAGAUACCCUGGUAGUCCGCACAGUAAACGAUGAAUACUUGUUCUCGGCGAUAUAAUGUCGGAGGCAAAGCGAAAGCGAUAAGUAUUCCACCUGGGGAGUACGCCGGCAACGGUGAAACUCAAAUGAAUUGACGGGG